Molecule: transfer RNA, 85 nt
Filed under: candidate division Kazan bacterium RIFCSPHIGHO2_01_FULL_49_10
Lineage: Bacteria
Also listed under: 1 other name
Description: tRNA-Leu
Rfam family: tRNA
About the family: Transfer RNA (tRNA) molecules are approximately 80 nucleotides in length. Their secondary structure includes four short double-helical elements and three loops (D, anti-codon, and T loops).
Source: RNAcentral
GGGCGAGUGGUGGAACUGGCAGACACGCUAGGUUAAGGGCCUAGUGGGGAAACCCGUGGAGGUUCGAGUCCUCUCUCGCCCACCA